This 109-nucleotide ribosomal RNA is filed under the name Klebsiella pneumoniae. Lineage: Bacteria; Pseudomonadati; Pseudomonadota; Gammaproteobacteria; Enterobacterales; Enterobacteriaceae. The record is from RNAcentral.
CCCGGCGGCACUAGCGCGGUGGUCCCACCUGACCCCAUGCCGAACUCAGAAGUGAAACGCCGUAGCGCCGAUGGUGGGGUCUCCCCAUGUGAGUAGGGAACUGUGGGCA